This 253-nucleotide ribosomal RNA is filed under the name uncultured bacterium. RNAcentral's name for it is "partial 16S ribosomal RNA". It matches the Rfam family "Archaeal small subunit ribosomal RNA", at positions 474 to 727 of the family's 1478-position model. The record is from RNAcentral.
UACCAGCACCCCGAGUGGUCGGGACGAUUAUUGGGCCUAAAGCAUCCGUAGGCGGUCAUGCAAGUCCUCCGUUAAAUCCACCUGCUUAACAGAUGGGCUGCGGAGGAUACUACAAGGCUAGGAGGCGGAAGAGGCAAGCGGUACUCAGUGGGUAGGGGUAAAAUCCUCUGAUCCAUUGAAGACCACCAGUGGCGAAGGCGGCUUGCCAAUACGCGCUCGACGGUGAGGGAUGAAAGCUGGGGGAGCAAACCGG